This 448-nucleotide ribosomal RNA is filed under the name uncultured bacterium. Its description in RNAcentral is "SSU rRNA". It matches the Rfam family "Bacterial small subunit ribosomal RNA", at positions 26 to 518 of the family's 1533-position model. The record is from RNAcentral.
AGAGCGAACGCUGGCGGCAGGCUUAACACAUGCAAGUCGAGCGGGCGUAGCAAUACGUCAGCGGCAGACGGGUGAGUAACGCGUGGGAACGUACCUUUUGGUUCGGAACAACCCAGGGAAACUUGGGCUAAUACCGGAUAAGCCCUUACGGGGAAAGAUUUAUCGCCGAAAGAUCGGCCCGCGUCUGAUUAGCUAGUUGGUGAGGUAAUGGCUCACCAAGGCGACGAUCAGUAGCUGGUCUGAGAGGAUGAUCAGCCACAUUGGGACUGAGACACGGCCCAAACUCCUACGGGAGGCAGCAGUGGGGAAUAUUGGACAAUGGGCGCAAGCCUGAUCCAGCCAUGCCGCGUGAGUGAUGAAGGCCCUAGGGUUGUAAAGCCCUUUCGGCGGGGAAGAUAAUGACGGUACCCGCAGAAGAAGCCCCGGCUAACUUCGCGCCAGCAGCCGC